CACGAAGUGAGUGGCGAACGGGUGAGUAACACGUGGGUAACCUGCCCAGAAGUAGGGGAUAACACCUGGAAACAGAUGCUAAUACCGUAUAACAGAGAAAACCGCAUGGUUUUCUUUUAAAAGAUGGCUCUGCUAUCACUUCUGGAUGGACCCGCGGCGUAUUAGCUAGUUGGUGAGGUAAAGGCUCACCAAGGCAGUGAUACGUAGCCGACCUGAGAGGGUAAUCGGCCACAUUGGGACUGAGACACGGCCCAGACUCCUACGGGAGGCAGCAGUAGGGAAUCUUCCACAAUGGACGCAAGUCUGAUGGAGCAACGCCGCGUGAGUGAAGAAGGGUUUCGGCUCGUAAAGCUCUGUUGUUAAAGAAGAACGUGGGUAAGAGUAACUGUUUACCCAGUGACGGUAUUUAACCAGAAAGCCACGGCUAACUACGUGCCAGCAGCCGCGGUAAUACGUAGGUGGCAAGCGUUAUCCGGAUUUAUUGGGCGUAAAGCGAGCGCAGGCGGUCUUUUAAGUCUAAUGUGAAAGCCUUCGGCUCAACCGAAGAAGUGCAUUGGAAACUGGGAGACUUGAGUGCAGAAGAGGACAGUGGAACUCCAUGUGUAGCGGUGAAAUGCGUAGAUAUAUGGAAGAACACCAGUGGCGAAGGCGGCUGUCUGGUCUGCAACUGACGCUGAGGCUCGAAAGCAUGGGUAGCGAACAGGAUUAGAUACCCUGGUAGUCCAUGCCGUAAACGAUGAUUACUAAGUGUUGGAGGGUUUCCGCCCUUCAGUGCUGCAGCUAACGCAUUAAGUAAUCCGCCUGGGGAGUACGACCGCAAGGUUGAAACUCAAAAGAAUUGACGGGGGCCCGCACAAGCGGUGGAGCAUGUGGUUUAAUUCGAAGCUACGCGAAGAACCUUACCAGGUCUUGACAUCUUCUGACAGUCUAAGAGAUUAGAGGUUCCCUUCGGGGACAGAAUGACAGGUGGUGCAUGGUUGUCGUCAGCUCGUGUCGUGAGAUGUUGGGUUAAGUCCCGCAACGAGCGCAACCCUUAUUACUAGUUGCCAGCAUUAAGUUGGGCACUCUAGUGAGACUGCCGGUGACAAACCGGAGGAAGGUGGGGACGACGUCAAAUCAUCAUGCCCCUUAUGACCUGGGCUACACACGUGCUACAAUGGAUGGUACAACGAGUCGCGAGACCGCGAGGUUAAGCUAAUCUCUUAAAACCAUUCUCAGUUCGGACUGUAGGCUGCAACUCGCCUACACGAAGUCGGAAUCGCUAGUAA
RNAcentral lists this ribosomal RNA (1268 nucleotides) under Pediococcus pentosaceus. RNAcentral's name for it is "bacterial SSU rRNA". It matches the Rfam family "Bacterial small subunit ribosomal RNA", at positions 85 to 1341 of the family's 1533-position model. Lineage: Bacteria; Bacillati; Bacillota; Bacilli; Lactobacillales; Lactobacillaceae. The record is from RNAcentral.